Long non-coding RNA from Leopardus geoffroyi (Geoffroy's cat), 558 nucleotides. RefSeq lists it as uncharacterized. The transcript is spliced from 5 exons. Lineage: Eukaryota; Metazoa; Chordata; Mammalia; Carnivora; Felidae. The record is from RefSeq and is a predicted model, not a curated record.
UUGGUCUUUAUCCAAAUCAAAAUGUUGUGGCUUUCUUGUCUAAAUAGCAUGAUUCUUUUUACAUAUAAUGGUCUCUGACCGGCACUAAUUACGAGUCCUUUGGAUGAAGAUAGUAACAUAAAACUGGCAGUAUUUUUCAUGGAAGAAGAUUUAUGCAUCACUGCAUUUGGAUUCAACAAAAUUUCUCUGUAAUGCUUCCUCAGAUGUCAGUCAAUGGGAUUUUCUCAUAGCUUUUGAGCUUCUCCAGGGAAGGAACAUACUUAUUCAUGUUUGUGUCUCCACAAACACCUGGCAUGUUACAUGGCUCAUCCUUGGUGACCAGUAAAUAAUUGUUAAACUGAAUUACUGGAUUCUGCUUUGUCGUCCAAUAUGCCGGCGAUGUCAUCUGGGAAUACUGGCAAGAACAGUUCUUGAAGUUUGCAUCGGUAUGGACAGAGUAUGUAGCCAUCAACAUGGCAUGGAUUUGAGAGUGAAUAAAAAAAAGAAACGAAAAGAGAAGAUAAUCAUUUAGCGGCCUGACAAGUGUUCAUUGGGUCAGUCCUAAGAAGGAGCCAAAAG